UCUUUGUUUAAGACCAUGGACACUGUCCUAGCCUUGAAAUCCCCUGUUUCUCCACGAAGCAGAGGAGUUAAACAAGAAAAACAUAGGAUUUUAAUUUUAUAUAUCAUCUGGUGUUUCAACGAAGAGAUCUGUUCCUUUAGUAAGUAUGGAUGUGUUCUUGUCGAACUCAGGAGGCAAGUAAGAAGUGUCUUCAAUAGGCAACACAGGCGCAGAGCCAUUCAAUCUAUUUAUCUUGCAACCUCUUCUUGCUUUCAGCGUCGCAGCACCUCUCAAUGCUUAUUUUACCAAACACCAAUGUCUCAGAAACAGAGCAUUCCUUGUAGAAAACAAAAAAAAAAAAAAAAAANACCAAAAUAACAAAAGCUUUAUCUUCUUCUGAUGAUGGUGAGCUCAAGGUCAGGAGCAGGCAUAGGAAGUUUAAGAACUGCCCUUGCUAGAAUUGCUAAGUUUGCAAAGUUCUAGCCAUCUAGGUUCUUAAAACAAGAAAAAAAAAUCCCAAAGCCAGUCAGAGUCAGAGAAUCGAACGUUUGUAUGGCAAAAUAAGAGGAAAGAAUGAAGAUAUAUGUGUUGUGGUGGAAGAGAAGGGAGAAGUCAAAAUGUUAAAAGAGAUAAGGAACUAAGGAAGAGAUGGUGAAUGGUGUGAUGAUGAUGAUCCGACUAAGUUAGUGAAAACUGUCAACAAUCACUUGUGUUUUAUUAAUUUCUUUAUUAUCUUUUUUUGUUUGUCAAAGCCAUC
Camelina sativa (false flax) is the source of this 736-nucleotide long non-coding RNA. RefSeq lists it as uncharacterized. The record is from RefSeq and is a predicted model, not a curated record. NCBI's taxonomy places the organism in Eukaryota, Viridiplantae, Streptophyta, Magnoliopsida, Brassicales, Brassicaceae.